GAAUGCUUUCUUCACUCUCUGCUGACAUAACUGACCAUGGCAGUUGAUCUCUUUUUCGAUCGAAUUCAACAUCAGCCAACUUGGGACUUUGAGGGUGCUAUCUUCUUUUGUUUUUUUUCUUUUGAUUUUGCUUUUGAUUUUGCUUUCUUUUGAUUUCUUUUGAUUUUGCACCCUCCUCUUUCUUUUUUCUCUUUUUUUUUGAUAAUGCCCCAGUUGGCUGUUCUGCUGAUUCUCGAGAUGCAGCUGAGUGAUCUUCUUUUCUUGCUCAAGAAGUCAGGAAAUCUCGUCAGGAAUCCCUUCAACAUCAUCUUCGUCCGCUUCGAAUACAAGGAAUUCAAAAUUGGGAGAUGACGUCCGAUCACUAUGUUCAAUGGGUUUGAGAAAUAACCUGCAUAAUGAUUUAGAGAUGAAAAGCUUUUUGAAAAACAAACAAGACAAUCGUUAUGCAGAUGAAAAGAUUGCUUUUAUUCUUGUUUUUU
This 479-nucleotide long non-coding RNA is filed under the name Lathyrus oleraceus (garden pea). RNAcentral's name for it is "Pisum sativum (pea) long non-coding RNA (PSAT_LNC021376)". Lineage: Eukaryota; Viridiplantae; Streptophyta; Magnoliopsida; Fabales; Fabaceae. The record is from RNAcentral.